AUGGAUAAAGCUUUUUCCGUUUGAAGCGCUGGCUUUUUAAUUCAGAGAAAUCUCUUAGGGGUUGUCCUUA
RNAcentral lists this transfer RNA (70 nucleotides) under Modiolus nipponicus. RNAcentral describes it as "tRNA-Lys". Lineage: Eukaryota; Metazoa; Mollusca; Bivalvia; Mytilida; Modiolidae. The record is from RNAcentral.